UACGGAGGAUGCGAGCGUUAUCCGGAUUUAUUGGGUUUAAAGGGUGCGUAGGCGGGUUAUCAAGUCAGCGGUAAAAUCGUAGAGCUCAACUCCAUCCAGCCGUUGAAACUGAUGAUCUUGAGUGGGCGAGAAGUAUGCGGAAUGCGUGGUGUAGCGGUGAAAUGCAUAGAUAUCACGCAGAACUCCGAUUGCGAAGGCAGCAUACCGGCGCCCGACUGACGCUGAAGCACGAAAGCGUGGGUAUCGAACAGG
Molecule: ribosomal RNA, 252 nt
Filed under: uncultured bacterium
Lineage: Bacteria
Description: partial 16S ribosomal RNA
Rfam family: Bacterial small subunit ribosomal RNA
Source: RNAcentral